AAUGUCUAUGAUCUCUCAAAGGGAAGUCCACACAUAGUCUCAGGUCUCAGGGUCUGUAGCAGAGGCUUUGGCUGCAACCAAAUCCUGCCCCUUCCUGAAUAGAAACAGAGGAGGGGUGGAUUAUGGGUGGGCGACAAAUAAGGGGAAGAGGAAAGAUGGGGUGGAGAAGAGGGAGAGGAAACUGUGGCCAGGAUGUAAAAUAAAUAAAUUUUUAAGAUGCAUACAUACUAAAAACAAUCCUAAAGCAAAUGACCAGCAGGAACCUUCUCUCUGCUGUCCAUAUUAAGGGACUGGUGACAAAAUGCUUACUUUGUAUCCCUGAGUACAAGAGGAGACCCCAGUUCCACCUCAGAUAUUUCUGCCUCCCUCCUGGCAGUCUUUCUUAGGACCUGCUUUGGGAAUGUGGUCCAAGGUCCAUGGGUUAAGGCUAGGAGGGUAGAAACAUGGCUGCAUCUGCCCAACCCCAAUCCUCUUGCGGGAGCUGUGGUGUGGGAUGGUCACCGCAGUCCCUUCUUACCUUGUGCCGUCCAGGUGUUGCUGGAAUCAUAAUCCAAUGCUUCUAAACUUUCAGUCUGAAGAACAGGGUACUUAGUGUGUUCAGGACUGCCCGGGAAGGGGUGUCCAUGCCAGGAAGAUAUCUGACCACCAGUUGGAAGGCACUCAAGUGACCCCAGAAUGGUAAAAUUAAAAACCAUCUAAGAAAAAUAUAAUGAGAGAGAAAAGACCCUACAAGCUGCAUGAAUUCAGCCGAGUCCUGCAAUGCCCAAGGUCCACUGUUCUUUGCCAAGUGACAGACCAUCUCCACAGGCUUUGCCUUGCAGAGACCCAUUGGACAGGCAUUCAUAUGCGGAUCAGAGACUAGGCUGCAUGGCUCCCUACACUGAAAUCUGUGCCUGUGCCUGAGACUAAGUUAAGGUGCUCUGUGUCCUUGUGAGAAAAAGGAAAACAAGGCUGAAUAAGGCCUCUCCUGAGGCUGGUGAUGCAGCCUGAGGAAAUGUUCCACACAAAACAUUCAGGAUGGGUCUUACUACCUCAGAAACACCUCUCCAGAAACACCCUCAGAUAUGUGCCCAGAUUUCUGCCUCUUAAGAAAACCUAGUUCCUGCCACACUACCUAGAAUCCAGUCUCAACUUCAGAUAUCAUUAUUGUGGGUACUGCUCUGCAAGGGCCUUCACAUUCACGCUCUAUUGGCUAGGUCUCCAGGAAGAGGUGGAUCUCUCUUUCUUGGCUGCUGCCUCUUCCUCAAGCCAGGGGACCUCUUUUCUUCAGCCACCUGAGAAGUGGUCAAUACCAUACCCCUACCAUGGCAUGGGUAGCAAUACAGGAGAAUCAUUAGACUCUAAAUGUGAAUACUUUUAGAGUCCAUCUGAGUGAUACCAGGACAUUUUUGGCUAUGGAGAAAUAUCCCUCGCUCUGCAAUAGUGACCCCAACUCGCCUCUUUUUGGAACCCAGAAAAAAUGCUCAACUCCCUCAGCCAUUCUGUCUCAUUGUUGAGACCACCAGGGCAGGAUGACAGCUCAUUGUCUGCUGAGCCAUCUGCACCUGGCAAGGCCACCCUUUCUCUACUAAAUAAAGGGCACUGUUCACAUGGGCUGAGGCCUGGA
Molecule: non-coding RNA, 1606 nt
Organism: Peromyscus maniculatus bairdii (prairie deer mouse)
Lineage: Eukaryota; Metazoa; Chordata; Mammalia; Rodentia; Cricetidae
Source: RefSeq, a predicted model, not a curated record